Molecule: transfer RNA, 65 nt
Filed under: uncultured Clostridium sp.
Lineage: Bacteria; Bacillati; Bacillota; Clostridia; Eubacteriales; Clostridiaceae
Rfam family: tRNA
About the family: Transfer RNA (tRNA) molecules are approximately 80 nucleotides in length. Their secondary structure includes four short double-helical elements and three loops (D, anti-codon, and T loops).
Source: RNAcentral
GGUAUGGCCAAGUGGUAAGGCGUCAGACUCUGACUCUGAUUAUCGUAGGUUCGAAUCCUACUACC